Molecule: small nuclear RNA, 192 nt
Organism: Chrysolophus pictus (golden pheasant)
Lineage: Eukaryota; Metazoa; Chordata; Aves; Galliformes; Phasianidae
Gene: U2
Rfam family: U2 spliceosomal RNA
About the family: U2 is a small nuclear RNA (snRNA) component of the spliceosome (involved in pre-mRNA splicing). Complementary binding between U2 snRNA (in an area lying towards the 5' end but 3' to hairpin I) and the branchpoint sequence (BPS) of the intron results the bulging out of an unpaired adenosine, on the BPS, which initiates a nucleophilic attack at the intronic 5' splice site, thus starting the first of two transesterification reactions that mediate splicing.
Source: Ensembl
UUUGCUUCUUGACCUUUUGGCAAAGAUCAAGUGGAGCAUAUGUUUUUAUCAGUUUAAUAUCUGUUAUGUCCUCAACUUGAGGAUUUUAUAUUAAAUGAGUUUGGGGACUGGGAAAUGUACUAGGAGCUUACACCAUCCUCUCCAUGCGUGAAGCUGGCUAUUGCUGUGUUUCUAGACUGCUGUGAAAAAAAA